Molecule: long non-coding RNA, 2179 nt
Organism: Cyprinus carpio carpio
Lineage: Eukaryota; Metazoa; Chordata; Actinopteri; Cypriniformes; Cyprinidae
Source: Ensembl
UUUACAUAUUAACAAGAUUUAUUUAUAAGAAAGAAAGAUUGUACACAAAGUUUUACAGUUUUCAAAAAGGCACUUGUAAAAACGACGAUAAUAUAGUUUGAUUCAUGUGCUUCAAAAACAUGGAAAUGUGCUUUGAAAUUGUGCAAAUGUUAAGCAUGUGAUUAGAAGUAGAGAAAACAAAUGACACACUCAUUACAAAAACAAAUCAAACAUACAAAAUAAUCAUAAAUUAUACAGUCUUAUACUCUUCCAAUUUACAUAAAAUCUUCAAGAAAUUGUUGCCAUUGAACACAUGGCUACAAUAUAUACAAAAUACUCAGUUUUAAGGGAAACUAACUUAGCUGUCCUGAGUAACCUAAUCAAAUGUCACAAUUCAAAUUAAUUUGUCCUUUACACCUCUAGUGGAGAAAAGUGCCAGACUGAAGCCAUAUACUAUACAAAGGCCGCAGACCACACUAAAGAAUGCAGCUCCCAGAGUGUCUGAAAGGGUGACUGGUGGAAAAUGAGCAUGAAGCCACUGCUUUCGUGCAGCCAUGUCAAGUUCAAUGGCAGUCAUCUGGAAAUACGUGCCAAUAAUAGCGAACACAUGGAAGAGCUGAUGACUAUGACCUGUGAAGGCUAUGUAGUCAAAACUGCCAGGAGCCAAGCGUUCAGGCAGGUGUGUGGCAAAAAGAAAGCCAGUGAGGACAGCCAAUGACGUGUGCUGAUAGUGAACAGUAUUGGCUUCAUUAACAGUGCAACCCUCACCAGUGCACACAAAGAUCUAUAAAUGAAGGCAGAAAGUACUUUAAAUUAAUUAACUUUGCUCAGUUUCACAUUCAAUACAAACACAGCCAAAACAAAGAGUUAAUUUUUUUUGCAAAAUAACCCAAAACACUCACUCUAUAAAAGAGAGGGAUGUUGUCAAAGAGAUAUGGAUAGACAAAGGCGAUUAUCCGUAGACAUUUACUGAGUUUCUGAUCUAAUUUUCCAGAACAACUAAAAGAGAAUACAGUUAAUUUACUGAAAAUGUACCGUUUUUCAAUGUCAAGAUUAAAAAUGCAAAAGAGACAUUACCUUUUAAUGCUGUGAUGAUUAUACUGAAAAAAUGGUAAACCAAGUCUAAAAACGAAGAAAUACAAGUAUUUCAAUGUUAAUACCGUGCACUCAGGUCAAAAUCCACAAAGCAGGUUAGAAAUAUUACUAACUUUUGAUUUAUUGAUUACUUAUCCUACCUUGAGUAGCAGGCCAGUGCAGUGGAGAUAACAGAAUUGACAACAGCUAUAGGAACAUAGUAUUUGUGAAAUGUGCUAUUGACCCAUUUAUCUGGAAAUGAAUAAGAAGAGUAGGUGAUGGCAGAACCUGUGGUCGAUCAAAUACACAAAUAAACAAAAAGUUAGGAUAAUUCAGUCACAAAAACAUUACAUAAGUAUAUAAAUAUAGUUUACUCAUUAGUUGAGUUAUAUUCUCUCCAUACCAAGGCUGUAGAAGCUGAGUGCUCCAUAAUCAAAGAAGAAGCAGAUGUGCCUAGCCCUCUCUGACAUGGUACUGAAGGUAUGAGCACAGCUGGAAGCGAGUGGGUACACGCAGCAUGACAAAAGGAACACCAGCAAGGGCCAGGUGAAAGGAUCCUGCCAGUCAUCCUGCACUAGUACUACUGUCAGUUUCCAUAAGAAAAACCUUGCAAAAAACAACAUUACUUUACAUUCUAAAAAUGCAAGCAUGCAUCAAAAGCUGCAGUGUAACAGAGGCAUCAAUGCUCUUGCAAUAAAAAGUAUUUUAGAUUUUUAAUAUUUGUAAAUAUAAGUUUUCAGCAACCCUAUAAAUAGUAUAAGUUAAUGUGGCAACAAUUAAGUUGACCUUGAAAAAGGCUCUAUGACAUAUUGACAUUCUCAGCAAUGUCUAAUGUUUUACUGUACAUGAGUAACCUGGAGUUCAGUCUUCAAUGCAAAGAGUUAAAAAAUAAUUUAAUGUGGUAUUAAUUAAGUUAAUCUUGUAGGAAGCUUAAAUUAAAUGCUCAAAUUUGUCAUAAUUUUAACAUUAGCUAAUGUAACUGUAUCAAAAUAAUUUACCAUGUAGGCAGAAAAUGAGUCCAAAUAUUGAGGGUUUCAUUCGUUAGCUGGAAAAGACUAAGCACACAAUCUUUGGCAGAGCUGCAUGGGUGGCGAUACCCUGAAAUUAUGCCAUCCUCAUGGAAGAC